AGAUGUAGUCGUAGAGCGCGACUACGGUAAUCAAAAAAAAGCUCACUGAGA
This 51-nucleotide non-coding RNA is filed under the name Anaeromusa burkinensis DSM 3853. Its description in RNAcentral is "Anaeromusa acidaminophila DSM 3853 6A RNA". It matches the Rfam family "6A RNA". From Rfam's summary of the family: Actinobacteria (1 example), Firmicutes, Fusobacteria. Terminator (Clostridia) Lineage: Bacteria; Bacillati; Bacillota; Negativicutes; Selenomonadales; Sporomusaceae. The record is from Rfam by way of RNAcentral.